Molecule: ribosomal RNA, 710 nt
Filed under: Allomuricauda sp.
Lineage: Bacteria; Pseudomonadati; Bacteroidota; Flavobacteriia; Flavobacteriales; Flavobacteriaceae
Description: bacterial SSU rRNA
Rfam family: Bacterial small subunit ribosomal RNA
Source: RNAcentral
UCGGGCUGAUACACAUGCAGUCGAGGGGUAGGGGGUGCUUGCACCCCUGAGACCGGCGCACGGGUGCGGAACGCGUAUGGAACCUGCCCCUGUCAGGGGAAUAGCCCAGGGAAACUUGGAUUAAUGCCCCAUGGUAUCAUUACAUCGCAUGAUGUUGUGAUUAAAGAUUUAUCGGACAGGGAUGGCCAUGCGUACCAUUAGCUUGAUGGUGGGGUAACGGCCCACCAUGGCAACGAUGGUUAGGGGCCCUGAGAGGGGGAUCCCCCACACUGGUACUGAGACACGGACCAGACUCCUACGGGAGGCAGCAGUGAGGAAUAUUGGACAAUGGUCGGAAGACUGAUCCAGCCAUGCCGCGUGCAGGAUGACGGCCCUAUGGGUUGUAAACUGCUUUUAUACGGGAAGAAACCCACCUACGUGUAGGUGGCUGACGGUACCGUAAGAAUAAGGACCGGCUAACUCCGUGCCAGCAGCCGCGGUAAUACGGAGGGUCCGAGCGUUAUCCGGAAUCAUUGGGUUUAAAGGGUCCGUAGGCGGGCCUGUAAGUCAGGGGUGAAAGUUUGUGGCUCAACCAUAAAAUUGCCUUUGAUACUGCAGGUCUUGAGUCAUGGUGGGGUUGCCGGAACAUGUGGUGUAGCGGUGAAAUGCAUAGAUAUCACAUAGAACACCGAUCGCGAAGGCAGGUGACCAACCAUGUACUGACGCUGAUG